AAAUUGAAGAGUUUGAUCAUGGCUCAGAUUGAACGCUGGCGGCAGGCCUAACACAUGCAAGUCGAACGGUAACAGGAAGCAGCUUGCUGCUUCGCUGACGAGUGGCGGACGGGUGAGUAAUGUCUGGGAAACUGCCUGAUGGAGGGGGAUAACUACUGGAAACGGUAGCUAAUACCGCAUAAUGUCGCAAGACCAAAGAGGGGGACCUUCGGGCCUCUUGCCAUCGGAUGUGCCCAGAUGGGAUUAGCUUGUUGGUGGGGUAACGGCUCACCAAGGCGACGAUCCCUAGCUGGUCUGAGAGGAUGACCAGCCACACUGGAACUGAGACACGGUCCAGACUCCUACGGGAGGCAGCAGUGGGGAAUAUUGCACAAUGGGCGCAAGCCUGAUGCAGCCAUGCCGCGUGUAUGAAGAAGGCCUUCGGGUUGUAAAGUACUUUCAGCGGGGAGGAAGGGAGUAAAGUUAAUACCUUUGCUCAUUGACGUUACCCGCAGAAGAAGCACCGGCUAACUCCGUGCCAGCAGCCGCGGUAAUACGGAGGGUGCAAGCGUUAAUCGGAAUUACUGGGCGUAAAGCGCACGCAGGCGGUUUGUUAAGUCAGAUGUGAAAUCCCCGGGCUCAACCUGGGAACUGCAUCUGAUACUGGCAAGCUUGAGUCUCGUAGAGGGGGGUAGAAUUCCAGGUGUAGCGGUGAAAUGCGUAGAGAUCUGGAGGAAUACCGGUGGCGAAGGCGGCCCCCUGGACGAAGACUGACGCUCAGGUGCGAAAGCGU
This 772-nucleotide ribosomal RNA is filed under the name Escherichia coli. RNAcentral describes it as "bacterial SSU rRNA". It matches the Rfam family "Bacterial small subunit ribosomal RNA", at positions 1 to 762 of the family's 1533-position model. Lineage: Bacteria; Pseudomonadati; Pseudomonadota; Gammaproteobacteria; Enterobacterales; Enterobacteriaceae. The record is from RNAcentral.